Molecule: ribosomal RNA, 910 nt
Filed under: uncultured bacterium
Lineage: Bacteria
Description: bacterial SSU rRNA
Rfam family: Bacterial small subunit ribosomal RNA
Source: RNAcentral
ACGCUGGCGGCGUGCCUAAUACAUGCAAGUAGAACGCUGAAGGAGGAGCUUGCUUCUCCGGAUGAGUUGCGAACGGGUGAGUAACGCGUAGGUAACCUGCCUGGUAGCGGGGGAUAACUAUUGGAAACGAUAGCUAAUACCGCAUAAGAGUAGAUGUUGCAUGACAUUUGCUUAAAAGGUGCAAUUGCAUCACUACCAGAUGGACCUGCGUUGUAUUAGCUAGUUGGUGGGGUAACGGCUCACCAAGGCGACGAUACAUAGCCGACCUGAGAGGGUGAUCGGCCACACUGGGACUGAGACACGGACCAGACUCCUACGGGAGGCAGCAGUAGGGAAUCUUCGGCAAUGGACGGAAGUCUGACCGAGCAACGCCGCGUGAGUGAAGAAGGUUUUCGGAUCGUAAAGCUCUGUUGUAAGAGAAGAACGAGUGUGAGAGUGGAAAGUUCACACUGUGACGGUAUCUUACCAGAAAGGGACGGCUAACUACGUGCCAGCAGCCGCGGUAAUACGUAGGUCCCGAGCGUUGUCCGGAUUUAUUGGGCGUAAAGCGAGCGCAGGCGGUUAGAUAAGUCUGAAGUUAAAGGCUGUGGCUUAACCAUAGUACGCUUUGGAAACUGUUUAACUUGAGUGCAAGAGGGGAGAGUGGAAUUCCAUGUGUAGCGGUGAAAUGCGUAGAUAUAUGGAGGAACACCGGUGGCGAAAGCGGCUCUCUGGCUUGUAACUGACGCUGAGGCUCGAAAGCGUGGGGAGCAAACAGGAUUAGAUACCCUGGUAGUCCACGCCGUAAACGAUGAGUGCUAGGUGUUAGACCCUUUCCGGGGUUUAGUGCCGCAGCUAACGCAUUAAGCACUCCGCCUGGGGAGUACGACCGCAAGGUUGAAACUCAAAGGAAUUGACGGGGGCCCGCACA